This is a non-coding RNA of Malus domestica (apple), 2349 nucleotides long. Lineage: Eukaryota; Viridiplantae; Streptophyta; Magnoliopsida; Rosales; Rosaceae. The record is from RefSeq and is a predicted model, not a curated record.
UCACUCUGCUGAGAGCUCACUUUUGGUUAACUGUUAAGUCAAAACAAUCAGUGAGAACAUCACAAAAUCAUAAGAUUCAAGAAGCUAAAUCUGCUAAAUCCAAAAUCUUAAAAACCCAAAUCUCCAGUUCCCAAAAAGAUCCAGAAAUCGAGAGAGAGAGAGAGAGAGAGAGAGAGAGAGAGAGGAGAGAGAGAGAGAUCAAAACCCAGGAGAAACAGAGGGUGAAGCAAAUGGGAGUGACAAUGGGUCUGAAUCUGCUGCUGCUGAUGGCUAUGGUGGCCACCAACAUACUCUCACUCUACCACCUCUCCUCCACUCUCCAAACCCCAAAACCCCCAACUCCCCAGCCAGUCCCUGACCACCUUCUCCACCAGCUCCACACAUUACGCGCCACCAUCAACCACCUCACGCGCGACCACCCUUCCCCAUCAACCGCCACCGCCAAAACAACCAAACCCGACAUCCCCUCAGAUCUCCUCCUCUACUCUCAGCUCUCCCCCAUCGCCUCCUCCUGCCACAACCACCCUGACCUCGUCCACAAGUACAUGACCUACACCCCCUUCUCUCUCUGCCCACUCGACUCCGACCUUGCCGAGGCACUCAUUCUCCGCGGCUGCCACCCGCUCCCCCGCCGCCGAUGCUUCACAAGAACCCCACCAAAACCCACUUCUUCUCUCCCCCUGAAUCCGUUUCCUCCUUCGCUUCCGGACUCCAAUGUCUUGUGGGACAAGUAUUCCUGCAAAAGCUUCAGCUGCCUCGGCGGCAAAAACCCCAACUUGGGCUUCGACCUGCCUCACGAAGUGUCCAAUUUCAUGAGUUACAAGUCGGAGCUCGACCUCCCAAUCCCUCAGCUCUUCCAAAUCGCCAAAGCCGCCAACUCGGUCCUCCGUCUCGGCGUCGACAUCGGCGGCGGAACUGGGACUUUCGCGGCGAGGAUGAAGCUCUACAAUGUCACCGUUGUCACGACCACGAUGAACCUUGGAAUCCCCAACAAUGAGGCGGUGGCGCUGAGAGGGUUGGUCCCAAUUCACGCGCCGCUGCAGCAGCGGUUGCCAAUGUUCGACGGGGUGGUGGAUCUGGUGCGUUGCGGGCACGCCGUGAACCGGUGGAUACCGGCGACGGCAUUGGAGUUUUUGCUGUUUGAUGCGGAUAGAGUGUUGAGGGGAGGAGGGUACUUGUGGUUGGAUAAAUUUUUCAGCAAAGGGGUGGAUCUUGAGAAGGUUUUUGGACCGUUGAUUGGGAAAUUGGGGUACAGGAAGGUGAAGUGGGCUACUGCAAAUAAGAACGAUUCCGGCGGGAUCAAGAAUGGUGAGGUUUACUUGUCUGCUCUGCUCCAAAAACCUGUCUCGAAAUGAGGUUGCAAUUUGAGGUCCUAAAUAUGAUUGUUUCGUCUCUGAUAUGUUUUGCGUGAUCUGGUUGUGGCAUUCAUGUCUUUGUUGGACAAAGUUCUAUGAGAAGUUUUGCGCAUUAUUUGCAGGUCCUAAAUAUGAUUGUUUCGUCUCUGAUAUGUUUUGCGUGAUCUGGUUGUGGCAUUCAUGUCUUUGUUGGACAAAGUUCUAUGAGAAGUUUUGCGCAUUAUUUGCAGGUCCUAAAUAUGAUUGUUUCGUCUCUGAUAUGUUUUGCGUGAUCUGGUUGUGGCAUUCAUGUCUUUGUUGGACAAAGUUCUAUGAGAUCUUAAUACGAACCAGAGCCAGUCACGUUAGUUCCUUCGUUGCUAUCAUAUAGCCUGGUGUUCCAGGAGGAACAUGGCAUUCGCCUUCGGUGUACAUUGUCUUUAGGCCUCUUGAAUUGCUGAGUGUUUGCUAGAAUUUACUUUGUCUGUGAAUAAUCCAAGAUGUGCUACCUGGUAAACCUUGCGUAAAAUUUUCGGAGAGAUGACAUUGACAAUCUGUUUAGCGGGCUACUGUAAUGUGACGUCGUAAGCAGUAGUUUUAAUCAUAUGUGAAUCAUACUCGACAUUUUCUAAGUGCUCGGAAGUGGUGGUGUUGGAUCAUCGCACCAUCUGCACACGGCAUUGCCGUCAAUCGUUGCUGCUAACGAACAUACACCUCUCCUGAGAAGAUGGGCGUCCUUCAUCGAGCAAUGAGACAGUAUACCUACGUUCUCCGAUCUAAAGCGAGUUACACCUCAAGCUACUUGUUAAUGAUGUAAACAAUCGUCGAACGUCGCAAAAUAUGUAACGCUAUCAAAGGUUCCCAAGGAGGGAGAAGCCGAAAUUAGGCGCGUUCUCACCCUCAGUUAAUGGUUUUUGGUAGGAUUACUCUUGACUAAUUGUAAUAUUUAUUCCAAUUAAUUCUUCAUAAAUGAAUCCGAAGAGCAAUUAUGCUUUCCGGUAGCUUUUACACGUUA